UACGUAGGGUGCGAGCGUUGUCCGGAAUUAUUGGGCGUAAAGAGCUCGUAGGCGGUCUGUCGCGUCUGCUGUGAAAUCCCGAGGCUCAACCUCGGGCUUGCAGUGGGUACGGGCAGGCUAGAGUGCGGGUAGGGGAGAAUGGAACUCCUGGUGUAGCGGUGGAAUGCGCAGAUAUCAGGAAGAACACCGAUGGCGAAGGCAGUUCUCUGGGCCGUAACUGACGCUGAGGAGCGAAAGCGUGGGGAGCGAACAGG
RNAcentral lists this ribosomal RNA (254 nucleotides) under uncultured bacterium. RNAcentral describes it as "partial 16S ribosomal RNA". It matches the Rfam family "Bacterial small subunit ribosomal RNA", at positions 524 to 776 of the family's 1533-position model. The record is from RNAcentral.